Long non-coding RNA from Sitophilus oryzae (rice weevil), 376 nucleotides. RefSeq lists it as uncharacterized. NCBI's taxonomy places the organism in Eukaryota, Metazoa, Arthropoda, Insecta, Coleoptera, Curculionidae. The transcript has 3 exons. The record is from RefSeq and is a predicted model, not a curated record.
AACAUGAAAUAGAUAUGUUAAAUUAAUAUAUAAAUAUUUAACUUAAUACGUUCAUUAUUAUUUUAUUAAUUUAUCGUCACACGUCAUUUACCAGUUGCCUAAUUACGAAAAGUUUCAUAUGACAUUAACCUCAAAAAUGAUCUUUGAAAACAAACAACAAGAAACAGAGCAACAAAUGAACAAAUAACUACAUAAUGACUGAUAAUGAUAAGUGAUAAUAAUAACUUUAAUGAUAUGAAGGCUGAUGAAGUUUUAGACAACUAAUACAAGAUUUAGAACUUGACAUCGUGAUAAACAAAUUGUACAUUCAGGAACUCGUUUAAAUAUUAUAGGUUGAUUGACGAAUACUCUACAGUUGAUUAGAGCCCAUGAUGAU